This is a non-coding RNA of Schizosaccharomyces pombe (fission yeast), 301 nucleotides long. NCBI's taxonomy places the organism in Eukaryota, Fungi, Ascomycota, Schizosaccharomycetes, Schizosaccharomycetales, Schizosaccharomycetaceae. The record is from the annotation of a GenBank genome assembly.
AGUAAUAUAAACAGGCAAUUUCUUACUCUGCACAUGCAAUGAUAUAAAAAUACGAAUAGUUCCUUCGGAAAUUGCACGUUUUAACUGCACAUCUCGUUUCCACAAAUUUUCCGUCGUAUUGAUCGCAAAUUUGCUAUGAUUUUGAAUUUCUUGAACAUUUCUUAUUUGUAUUGAUUUAAGCCUGGAAAGUCGGUAGUUUCCUGGUAAUUCAAGCGACAUUCUAUCAUGGUUAAAGCAAUGAAUGCUUUUGCUUCAUCGCAUCGCCCUACUUGGUAAACUCAGCUGAGUCUGGUGCUAGCGU